GGAUCAAUUUGCUGGUCGAGACCUCUGGUACGUACUGGUAAUAUUGAUUUCUUUCAUUCUGAAGAACCGCGAUGUCAUUAAUUUGGUGUCGUGGGGAAUCAGGACUGUUACUUUGAAAAAAUUAGAGUGUUUAAAGCAGGCUUACGCUUGAAUACAUUAGCAUGGAAUAAUGAAAUAGGACGUUUGAUUCUAUUUUGUUGGUUUCUAGGAUUGACGUA
RNAcentral lists this ribosomal RNA (218 nucleotides) under Campeiostachys nutans. RNAcentral's name for it is "Elymus nutans partial small subunit ribosomal RNA". It matches the Rfam family "Eukaryotic small subunit ribosomal RNA", at positions 660 to 864 of the family's 1831-position model. Lineage: Eukaryota; Viridiplantae; Streptophyta; Magnoliopsida; Poales; Poaceae. The record is from RNAcentral.